This 406-nucleotide ribosomal RNA is filed under the name uncultured bacterium. Its description in RNAcentral is "partial 16S ribosomal RNA". It matches the Rfam family "Bacterial small subunit ribosomal RNA", at positions 30 to 526 of the family's 1533-position model. The record is from RNAcentral.
AUUGAACGCUGGCGGCAGGCUUAACACAUGCAAGUCGAGCGAGCGGCGGACGGGUGAGUAAUGUCUGGGAAACUGCCUGAUGGAGGGGGAUAACUACUGGAAACGGUAGCUAAUACCGCAUACCAUCAGAUGUGCCCAGAUGGGAUUAGCUAGUAGGUGGGGUAAUGGCUCACCUAGGCGACGAUCCCUAGCUGGUCUGAGAGGAUGACCAGCCACACUGGAACGGAGACACGGUACAGACGCCUACGGGAGGCGGCAGUGGGUAAUAUUGCACAAUGGGCGCAAGCCUGAUGCAGCCAUGCAGCGUGUAUGAAGAAGUCCUUCGGGGUGUAAAGUACUUUCAGCGGGGAGGCGUUACCCGCAGAAGAAGCACCGGCUAACUCCGUGCCAGAAUCGGCGGGAAUAC